AUUUAUGAAUAUUCUCAUAAGAAGGAAAGGACAAGAAAAUGGGACCUAUGCUUCCAACAAGUCCCUAACCCAGCUGAAACAAUAUCAAGCCAUCAGUACCAUCUAACCCAAAAACAGGAC
RNAcentral lists this ribosomal RNA (120 nucleotides) under Varanus rudicollis (roughneck monitor). RNAcentral describes it as "partial 16S ribosomal RNA". The record is from RNAcentral. Lineage: Eukaryota; Metazoa; Chordata; Lepidosauria; Squamata; Varanidae.